RNAcentral lists this ribosomal RNA (470 nucleotides) under Pseudomonas aeruginosa. Its description in RNAcentral is "bacterial SSU rRNA". It matches the Rfam family "Bacterial small subunit ribosomal RNA", at positions 1 to 471 of the family's 1533-position model. Lineage: Bacteria; Pseudomonadati; Pseudomonadota; Gammaproteobacteria; Pseudomonadales; Pseudomonadaceae. The record is from RNAcentral.
GAACUGAAGAGUUUGAUCAUGGCUCAGAUUGAACGCUGGCGGCAGGCCUAACACAUGCAAGUCGAGCGGAUGAAGGGAGCUUGCUCCUGGAUUCAGCGGCGGACGGGUGAGUAAUGCCUAGGAAUCUGCCUGGUAGUGGGGGAUAACGUCCGGAAACGGGCGCUAAUACCGCAUACGUCCUGAGGGAGAAAGUGGGGGAUCUUCGGACCUCACGCUAUCAGAUGAGCCUAGGUCGGAUUAGCUAGUUGGUUGGGUAAAGGCCUACCAAGGCGACGAUCCGUAACUGGUCUGAGAGGAUGAUCAGUCACACUGGAACUGAGACACGGUCCAGACUCCUACGGGAGGCAGCAGUGGGGAAUAUUGGACAAUGGGCGAAAGCCUGAUCCAGCCAUGCCGCGUGUGUGAAGAAGGUCUUCGGAUUGUAAAGCACUUUAAGUUGGGAGGAAGGGCAGUAAGUUAAUACCUUGCUG